Long non-coding RNA from Poecilia latipinna (sailfin molly), 519 nucleotides. RefSeq lists it as uncharacterized. The record is from RefSeq and is a predicted model, not a curated record. The transcript has 3 exons. NCBI's taxonomy places the organism in Eukaryota, Metazoa, Chordata, Actinopteri, Cyprinodontiformes, Poeciliidae.
UUUCCUCUGCUCUAUUGACUGAAUGAAGAGGGCGAGGAACCGACGGAUUACUAAAACCUGCAACUCCCAGACUGACUUUUACCACCCUCCCAAAUUUCUUUAAAAUAUACGAGUACUGUAUUUUUUUUUUUUUUUUUUCCUCUCUCCCACUAAGAUGAUUUUUAACUUACAAUGCUAAUGGUUUAAAGUUGGCUGGUCAACUUCAAACAAGGUAAUGAGAUACUUGGUAGUUGUGAGCUGGUGACGUCAGGGUACACCUCUCCUUGUGUCAUUAAACAGGGAUUGGCUUUUGUAACACUGUUCUUAGCCCAUGCCAUAUCAUUCCCUCUUUGUCUGUCUGAGACUAAAACAAACUAAAGCACAAGGACAUUGCAGAGUAGGGCAGCUAAGGCUGGACAACUUGUGUAAAAUUAAAUGUGACUAGUUCUUGUGCUGUUAAUGUGUUGGCCUGACUAUCCAGUCCUCAAUGUUACUAAUGUUCUCAUUCUAGGAAGUAUCUUUAUUAAAAAAAAAAGUUUG